UGAACGCUGGCGGCGUGCCUAACACAUGCAAGUCGAGCGGUAACAGGUGUAGCAAUACAUGCUGACGAGCGGCGGACGGGUGAGUAACGCUUGGGAAUCUGCCUAUUAGUGGGGGACGAACCCGGGAAACGUACGGCGUAAUACCGCAUACGCUCUACGGAGGAAAGCCGGGACCGCAAGGCCUGGCGCUAAUAGAUGAGCCCAAGUCGGAUUAGCUAGUUGGUAGGGUAAUGGCCUACCAAGGCGACGAUCCGUAACUGGUCUGAGAGGACGACCAGUCACACCGGAACUGAGACACGGUCCGGACUCCUAC
Molecule: ribosomal RNA, 313 nt
Filed under: uncultured bacterium
Lineage: Bacteria
Description: bacterial SSU rRNA
Rfam family: Bacterial small subunit ribosomal RNA
Source: RNAcentral